GGUGGCAGGCCCACCGGGAUCUGCUGUCGGAAGUCGGUCCCAAACAACCCCGGCUGCUGUGGUAAAGAGCCAUGGUAGUGAGCGCAGGGGGAACGAUCAGACGAGAUCUGAUCCUAUG
Molecule: non-coding RNA, 118 nt
Filed under: Escherichia coli
Lineage: Bacteria; Pseudomonadati; Pseudomonadota; Gammaproteobacteria; Enterobacterales; Enterobacteriaceae
Also listed under: 1 other name
Source: RNAcentral